Molecule: ribosomal RNA, 300 nt
Filed under: uncultured Alphaproteobacteria bacterium
Lineage: Bacteria; Pseudomonadati; Pseudomonadota; Alphaproteobacteria
Description: bacterial SSU rRNA
Rfam family: Bacterial small subunit ribosomal RNA
Source: RNAcentral
AUGUAGGUAUCUACCCUUUGGCCUGGAAUAACACGAGGAAACUUGUGCUAAUACUGGAUAAGUCUUUACGGAGAAAGCUUUAUGCACCAUUGGAUGAGCCUGCACUUGAUUAGUUUGUUGGUGGGGUAAUGGCCUACCAAGGCGACGAUCCGUAGCUGGUCUGAGAGGACGACCAGCCACACUGGGACUGAGACACGGCCCAGACUCCUACGGGAGGCAGCAGUGGGGAAUAUUGGACAAUGGGGGCAACCCUGAUCCAGCGACGCCGCGUGUGUGAAGAAGGCCUGCGGGUUGUAAAGC